UAUUUACCCUCUUCCUCUUCUUCUUUGUCUAUCGAUGAAACACGCUCGAAUCGAUCUGAGAAGGGAUGAAGGUAGCAGUUGUGAAUCUGAAACCAUGGCAGAGUCUGAUUUUGGUAGCCAUUAACGAGAUGUCAAAGCGGAAAUCCCCUGCAUUAGUUGCAUUCAUCGAUCUCUUUUUCUCUUCUCAAUUCUGUAAGUCGGUAGCUCCAAGAUGAGCAAUCAACCAAUUCCUCAUCCGAGGAGGAACAAUCUAAAUCCAAGCGUAGUUCGUCAACUGUAAAGAAAUCGGCUUCUUCUUCUGAGAAUGGAAUCAGUAAUGGAACCAAACGAGGUCUACUAUUGGAGAGAGACGGGAUUCGUCCCAUCGAUGAUUACAGAGGCGCACUCUAGAUCGUGAUUCACUCCAGGUUGCUUCACGGAGGAAAAGGCAAGACAACUUCGACUGAUGACCAUGGAGACCAAAACCUUCCACGAUAACAUGUACCACUUUGCGAUCGCAUCUCAACUCACUUCAGACUUUUCGAAUCGCUCCAAUCGAUAGUGUCUGCGCCGUUCUCCGGAGCCGACAGUUUUUGUUUUCUAGGAUUUUAGGGUUUUCUUUAAAAGUGAUAACGAUGAUGUUGUA
Molecule: long non-coding RNA, 625 nt
Organism: Macadamia integrifolia
Lineage: Eukaryota; Viridiplantae; Streptophyta; Magnoliopsida; Proteales; Proteaceae
Exons: 2
Source: RefSeq, a predicted model, not a curated record